UACGUAGGGGGCAAGCGUUAUCCGGACUUACUGGGUGUAAAGGGAGCGUAGACGGCGAAGCAAGUCUGAAGUGAAAGGACGGGGCCCAACCCCGGAACUGCUUUGGAAACUGUCUGGCUAGAGUGCGGGAGGGGUAAGCGGAAUUCCUAGUGUAGCGGCGAAAUGCGUAGAUAUUGGGAGGAACACCGGUGGCGAAGGCGGCUUACUGGACCGUAACUGACGUUGAGGCUCGAAGGCGUGGGGAGCAAAC
RNAcentral lists this ribosomal RNA (250 nucleotides) under uncultured prokaryote. RNAcentral describes it as "partial 16S ribosomal RNA". It matches the Rfam family "Bacterial small subunit ribosomal RNA", at positions 524 to 773 of the family's 1533-position model. The record is from RNAcentral.